Molecule: long non-coding RNA, 303 nt
Filed under: Hordeum vulgare
Lineage: Eukaryota; Viridiplantae; Streptophyta; Magnoliopsida; Poales; Poaceae
Description: long non-coding RNA (HVUL_LNC012402)
Source: RNAcentral
UUUGUCAACGGAAUUGCUUGAGGACAAGCAAUGCUUUAUGCUUGGGGGAGUUGAUACGUCUCCGUCGUAUCUACUUUCCUAAACUCUUUUGCCCUUGUUUUGGACUCUAAUUUGCAUGAUUUGAAUGGAACUAACCCGGACUAACGCUGUUUUCAGCAGAAUUGCCAUGGUGUUGUUUUUGCGUAGAAAUAAAAGUUCUCGGGAUGACCUCAAAAUUUACGGAGAAUUUUACUGGAAUUUAUGAAAAAUACCGGUGCAAGAAUCAGCGGAGGAAGUGGAGCCGUGAGCCCACAAGCCCACCAG